UCCUGUCCCCCGACACAUCCCAGGGAGCUUCUCUGCACAGUUUCGUGCUACUCUGGUGUGGCUUUUCCCAUGUUCUGCUAAGCCACGUGAUUCAUCUGCUAAUGGCUUUAGUGCAUUCCAGGCACUGUGGUCUAACUGUAGCUUAGGGUUUAAUGUGCUGUUCGAAACCAGCCUGCUAGGACCUGUUCAGAUCAUAGUUAAGCAAACCCUGGCUUAAUGCGAUGAGUGAACCUCCCCCCAGUUGGGCCCUGGUUCUUCUGGAUUGACAGGGUCUUGUCUUCCGAACGGCCUCCUCUGAAAUUGGGACUAGCACAAAGCAGGACCGUUCUGGUCUUCAGGGCUGACCAGGUAAAGGGCCGCCCCUGGAUAUCUUCUUCCAAGUGUAGAUUGCUUGCCAACAGACCCGUACGUUGUCCAGUAUUUAAAAAUAUUUACUUUACAGAGGAAUAGGUUUCCUGUGAAUUUUAGUUCACAGGCAGGUAGUAAAGCAGCUGUCUUGCUUUAUGCUAGUCCAGCCUGGCAGGAAAACAGAUGGUACUCUUCAGAUCAAGAACCUUGAGAUUAGAGUCGUGCAUCUCAUGAAACCAUGAUAACCAUGGUUUGCAAAAAAUAAACCACAGCUCACUGGGCUUGUGUAACAUGUUGAACUGAAACAGUGGUUUACAAGCCACUGGCUGGAUUUGCAUAUAUACUAAGGCAAAACUGGGCAACUCAAUUUAUGGCUUAGCAAGGUGUGUGAAUUGAGCCUGUGUGUAGUUAAAUAGAAGGAGGGUGGUAUAAUCCCAGGAGUUUGGAAGCGUGCACCAUGGCAACUGUGGGUGUGCAUGCAUUUCUGCAUCAGAUGAUUGUAACUGUGGUGUCCUAGACCUGACCAUUGAACCAAAGAGUGCUUUCUUUUCUCUUUUUUUUGCUCAAGAUGUGCUCGUAUUUAAUUGACGUAGUGGGAAAGCAGCCUGUCCCUUGAAACUGGAGAUGGAAAAUGCAGCUGAUACUUUAUGUAGAAUUUGUAGGUCUCCAUUCGAUUUGCUUUUUUACAAAACUGGACAGCAUCUGGAACUCUUGAGUUCUAGCAAAUGGAUUCUUCCUCUGGCAGUAUUGAUAGGAAGAUAGCUUUUUGCCCUAAACCUUGAUGAAUGAAAGAAACCCAGCUGUACUUUGUUUAUGGUAGAAGAAAGUGGUGUCCUAAGGCUUGCACAGAUUUCCCAGCCAAAAUCUUUGGAACAGGGAAACAUAAGGAGGACCUACAAUGUUUGUUACAAGUUUUGCUCUCCACCCUCCAUUACAUACCACAUUCUGGACCAGCUCAAGCUGCACAGAUGCUGUCAAGGGCAGAUCCUUACCAAAAGGCAGUAAAGAUGAAGAGCAAGAAAGGAAUAGCAGAAAUUAUGCUCGUGUCUGCUGAUUGAGAAAAAUGUGGCUGAGUCAAAAGGAUGUAUCUCCUUUAUCUGUAGUAAAGAAGGGUAUCUCCAAAGCCUUAAGAUGGCAGUUGUGUUUCCAGUAUAGUCUACUUUUCCUCCAAGAGGUGUAUAUAUAGAAGUGCCCCCAUGAAACGGUUUUGUGGAAUAUAUUAGGCUGACAGAGACUGACCCGAAGUUACCAAAUUAACCACGUGCAUGCCUUGGAGAUGAGAAGGAGAAGUGGGGAACUUCCCACUCAACAUUUAGAGUCAUUGAGCUCCACCUCCCAUUAGCUAAUGUCUGCUUGGUUGCUGUGUUCAGAUGGUGGAAAUCAGAGUCCAUUAACCUCCGGAGAGCCAUGGGCUUUCCCCGUCAGCUUUAGCACUCUGGUGUAAUGGCAAACUUAGAUGGCUUGGAAUGGGGUUAGGCAAAUGCAUGCAGAAGACUGUCCGUGGAUACUAGUUACAACUAUACAUUAUGUCCAGGCUCAGAGGAGAAAAUAUGUUGAGUACCAGCUAAUGAGGAACAGGAGGCUGCAGUUUCAUACCAGCUCUGCUUCUGAGCUCUCUGAAGGCUGCGAUGGCUACCAUGGGAGGGUAGUUCCUGGACCUUUAGUCUAAUCUAGGAGAAAUUGACUUGAGUUCUUACAUUCUAUCCUGUUGAUUGUCCUCCCAUGAACUUCUCAUAAACCCUGCAGAGCUUGUCAUGUUAAGUUCAGCCAGGGAAGUGUCUUUCAUGUCAUCUUCUGUAAGGUUAAAAUACAUUAUUUAAAGUAAACUGAGGCAAACAGGAAUGUCAGGCAGUUCUGGUAGGUUUUCAUGGCUUCUCCAGUAAAAUCUUUGCUUUUUUUCUUAUGGGUGGUGAAGAUUGGGUAGUUGUAAUGGUAUCUCUGAUCAAAACUGGGCCAAGAACUGCAAUGUGGAAAUUCUUCUGCACUUGACCUUCUCCAGCCUAAUACUGUCUUUCCAUUGGCUGGCUUCACAUGCCAAUCCAUGGUUUAUUGACUAAGCCACAUCAUCUUGGGCAAAGCCACAAAAUGGCUAGCAUAUAGAGUGGCUCAGUUCACAUGGUCCACAAAGCCUAGAUCCAACCAACCCCAAGGUACUUGUGACUUUGGGGGGGGGAUUUCUUUUUAUUAUUAUUUAUUAAAAAGGUACUUGUGGCUUAAUGCAGAGUUGGAACCGAGGCCCUGAGACUCUGGCACAGCUGAUUCUACAAAGCCCCAUGGGAAAUCAAAUGCAACUCCAGCAACGUGGUUUGUUCUUGCAAGUUUUUAUUGGACUUUCCCAUCCACCUAUUUGAGUUAGACUACCACCAACAAAAGCUGUUGCUUUGUCUUGGAUAUAAUCAGAACAAGAGAGAAUUUUUUGCAUUCUUAAGUGCUUGGCAUCUUUCUAGCCCUUGCUGAUAGCUCAAGUCUAGCCCGUUUUUUAUCUUUCUUGAUAAGGUUUGUGGCAAUGUAGCUAGGAACCCCGUGAGUUACAGUAACUCUGUUACUGGAUGGCUGCCAGCAAAACACCCCCCCCUUUUUUUUUUUUGAUGUGAGGAUCAACCUAUCCCAACCUGUUGGCUGUACUGGCUAGGGAAGUUGGGAGUUGUAGUCUCAGACACCUGGAGGUCACUAAGAUGAGAAAGUUAUUGCUAAUAGCAGAAGAAAUGUCCUUGGCUAAUCUUUUAGGUCAGCAACAACAAAGGGAUAACUUUUUAAUUUUUUUUAUUUUUUUGCAUCUGGCCCAGCUGAAGGUUAUAGAAACUUCCCUCUGUGUAUAUUACAAGCUUGUUCUCUCGCCAACACUCCCCAGUGUAGGAUUUCUUGCUGCUCUGCAAAAUCCAACCCUAGCUAUUGUUGAGUGGGUGCGGGUGUAAACCUUGGCCAGGAAUGUGAAUAAUCAACUUCAAAGCAACUAUUUCUCACAGUACUACGGGUAAAGAAUACAUAGAAACCUUCAUUCAGUUCUCGGUUUUCAAACAGGCCAGGGGAGAGAAAGUAAGUCUAUUCAAAGCCACCUCUUCACUUGUGGGCAGUUGUUUCCACCUUCCGCCCCCACCCCCGGAUCUUUGCGAUCGUAUUCUGCGUUUGACUGGUGCCCACAGGCUGCAUCAAAGGUUUAAACUGGACAAAAGUGCAUUUUCUAGUCCAUGAAAGGUGAAAUAAGAUGCUGCUUCCCGGGUAGGGAAAAGGAUCUUCUUGGAAGCUGGCAAUAAGGUUUUUCUGAAGUCUGCUGGCAAUAAGAUUUUUUUUCCCACCUAUGCGAUUUGAGGAUGAGAACAUGUGUGAGUCAUGUCUGGCUACAGAGGUCUGGAAGCCCAACACUCUUCAAGGCUGGGACAUUCGCCUUGUGUGACUUUUGCAUGUGGUGGGUAUGUGGUGUAGUUAUGGGCUUUACUGCGAAAAAAAGUUAUUUCCAGGAACUUAACUUCUCCAGUGUAUUUGAAUUUUGCCAGCCACACUUAAGUGGCUGCUUUUCCCAGGAGCUGAUAAUUGGAAUCCUAUUGUAGAAGACUGGUAUCUUCAUUCCAAAAAGGGAAAACUCUUUUUUGGGUGGGGGAGAAUGACAAUUUGUGAUACUGGCUUCUAUGACAGAUUGUGGGUCUCCAGUUUUAUCCCUUACAUCAAGGUGGACACCUUUAUCCAGGUUGAGAGAGGGGAGUAACCCAGAUGAUCAGGAGCUUGGAACGAAACAGCUGGUGAGGAAUGGUUGGAGGUGCUGGAGAAGAAUUGCUUAGCUUGGAGAAGAAAAGAUUGCAGGGAGACACGAGAGCUGUUUUCAAGGAUGGGAAGGGCUACCACGUAAAAGAUGAGGCAGACAUCCCAGAAGACAAGUGGGAAACAAGGAGUUUAAAUUACAAGGAAGACGGCUUCUACCACUUCUUCAAUAAGCACGAUUCGGAUGCAGCUGACCAGAACAGCACCAUAAGCAAUGCUAUUAUGGCGGCAGCAGGAUUUGGCUUAGCGGGCUUGGCUUUCCUCUUGGUGGUGCGAUAAGAACACAUCGGUGGACUUAGACUGCAGGGAGAUGGGAUGGGUGGGCACGCUCCUUUCUAAAACUGCUAACGUCCCAGCGAAACGUCCAUUCUAUAUUUCUACAACGGUCGAAGAUAGAAACCUAUAUAUAAAUAUAUAUUUUUAACUAGAGUUGGGGCAAAACUUAGUUGAGCACAUCACCUUCUGGCACUACCAGUGGUCGGUGAAUGCCUCUUUGCGCUCAUCCUGAGACUGGGCACCUUCUGGAUCUUGGCGUGAGGGCUGUACCUGGUCACCAUUUGUCCUGGGAACUGUGGAGUGCUGGGUGUUACGCUACGUGUUCAUGGUGGGCUUGUGAUGGAACCAAGUGGAAGACGUGUUUGCCUUUCUUCUUUGUGUGUGUGGGGGGGGGGGGGGAUGGGGAGGGAUCAUUGCCUUGUGAAAUGUGAGCCAGUAUUAAUAAGAAUGAAGAGCUUACUCCUCUUGUGGUGCAAUGCAAAUCAUACUGAGGCCACUCAAUCACAUAAAGUUGCAAGUUCCAUGUUGCACAGAGCAUUAUAGCUUACAUGUUUUUGUUAUAAUGACAUAACUCUUAACUUACACUACAACUAGAUGUCAAGAAUGUUGAUACCAAAACAGUUAAGGCUGCAGAACCAGUUCUGAACUGAAGUUGUUUAACUAUUAAAAGAACCUUUUUAAAAUUGGUAUAUUUGGGAGUCCAUUGAAGGCUGGGAUUUCUGUGGAUUUCCUGUCAAAUCCAGAAACUCCAUAUAACUUAAUAUAUUUUUGAAGUAUUUAUCAUUGUAUAAUACUGGUAGCUGGUUAACAUCUAUUUUUGUUAAAUUCCAUUUUUUUUAAAAAAAGAAAAGCUCUCCAGUUGCUUUCUUGGCUGCAUCUGUCUUAUAACUUGUUUAACAGUUCUAGUUUUGGUAAUUGAUAUACUGUGUAAUGUACAAAAUAGUCCUGAGAAGUGUUUUGUGUCCUUUCCUUUAGCUUGUACAGUUUUAAUAUGUGAAUAAACAACUGAAUAUUUUUAUUUUAAA
Non-coding RNA from Python bivittatus (Burmese python), 5405 nucleotides. NCBI's taxonomy places the organism in Eukaryota, Metazoa, Chordata, Lepidosauria, Squamata, Pythonidae. The record is from RefSeq and is a predicted model, not a curated record.